Molecule: ribosomal RNA, 777 nt
Filed under: uncultured bacterium
Lineage: Bacteria
Description: bacterial SSU rRNA
Rfam family: Bacterial small subunit ribosomal RNA
Source: RNAcentral
AGAGUUUGAUCCUGGCUCAGGACGAACGCUGGCGGCGUGCUUAACACAUGCAAGUCGAACGGUGAAGGAGGAGCUUGCUCCUCUGGAUCAGUGGCGAACGGGUGAGUAACACGUGAGCAAUCUGCCCCUGACUCUGGGAUAAGCGUUGGAAACGACGUCUAAUACCGGAUACGAAGCGCGAAGGCAUCUUCAGCGCUUGGAAAGAAUUUCGGUCAGGGAUGAGCUCGCGGCCUAUCAGUUAGUUGGUGAGGUAAUGGCUCACCAAGACGACGACGGGUAGCCGGCCUGAGAGGGUGACCGGCCACACUGGGACUGAGACACGGCCCAGACUCCUACGGGAGGCAGCAGUGGGGAAUAUUGCACAAUGGGCGCAAGCCUGAUGCAGCAACGCCGCGUGAGGGAUGACGGCCUUCGGGUUGUAAACCUCUUUUAGCAGGGAAGAAGCGAAAGUGACGGUACCUGCAGAAAAAGCACCGGCUAACUACGUGCCAGCAGCCGCGGUAAUACGUAGGGUGCAAGCGUUGUCCGGAAUUAUUGGGCGUAAAGAGCUCGUAGGCGGUUUGUCGCGUCUGCUGUGAAAACCCGAGGCUCAACCUCGGGCCUGCAGUGGGUACGGGCAAACUAGAGUGCGGUAGGGGAGAUUGGAAUUCCUGGUGUAGCGGUGGAAUGCGCAGAUAUCAGGAGGAACACCGAUGGCGAAGGCAGAUCUCUGGGCCGUAACUGACGCUGAGGAGCGAAAGCAUGGGGAGCGAACAGGAUUAGAUACCCUAGUAGUCC